CAUGCAGGCGGUUAGGCAAGUCAGAUGUGAAAUCCCCGCGCUUAACGUGGGCAUUGCAUUUGAAACUAUGUAGCUAGAGUUCUGUAGAGGGGGGUAGAAUUCCAGGUGUAGCGGUGAAAUGCGUAGAGAUCUGGAGGAAUACCGAUUGCGAAGGCAGCCCCCUGGACAGUGACUGACGCUGAGGCACGAAAGCGUGGGGAUCGAACAGGAUUAGAUACCCCCGUA
This 225-nucleotide ribosomal RNA is filed under the name uncultured Thorsellia sp. Its description in RNAcentral is "partial 16S ribosomal RNA". It matches the Rfam family "Bacterial small subunit ribosomal RNA", at positions 568 to 792 of the family's 1533-position model. The record is from RNAcentral. Lineage: Bacteria; Pseudomonadati; Pseudomonadota; Gammaproteobacteria; Enterobacterales; Thorselliaceae.